GAAAUUAAAAACCCAUAAGUUUC
Molecule: small nuclear RNA, 23 nt
Filed under: Arabidopsis thaliana (thale cress)
Lineage: Eukaryota; Viridiplantae; Streptophyta; Magnoliopsida; Brassicales; Brassicaceae
Description: snRNA_08203
Source: RNAcentral